AUUGAACGCUGGCGGCAGGCCUAACACAUGCAAGUCGAGCGGAUGAAGGGAGCUUGCUCCUGGAUUCAGCGGCGGACGGGUGAGUAAUGCCUAGGAAUCUGCCUGGUAGUGGGGGAUAACGUCCGGAAACGGGCGCUAAUACCGCAUACGUCCUGCGGGAGAAAGUGGGGGAUCUUCGGACCUCACGCUAUCAGAUGAGCCUAGGUCGGAUUAGCUAGUUGGUGGGGUAAAGGCCUACCAAGGCGACGAUCCGUAACUGGUCUGAGAGGAUGAUCAGUCACACUGGAACUGAGACACGGUCCAGACUCCUACGGGAGGCAGCAGUGGGGAAUAUUGGACAAUGGGCGAAAGCCUGAUCCAGCCAUGCCGCGUGUGUGAAGAAGGUCUUCGGAUUGGAAAGCACUUUAAGGUGGGAGGAAGGGCAGUAAGUUAAUACCUUGCUGUUUUGACGUUACCAACAGAAUAAGCACCGGCUAACUUCGUG
Molecule: ribosomal RNA, 484 nt
Filed under: uncultured bacterium
Lineage: Bacteria
Description: partial 16S ribosomal RNA
Rfam family: Bacterial small subunit ribosomal RNA
Source: RNAcentral